Molecule: non-coding RNA, 91 nt
Organism: Mycena polygramma
Lineage: Eukaryota; Fungi; Basidiomycota; Agaricomycetes; Agaricales; Mycenaceae
Source: the annotation of a GenBank genome assembly
GGCCUGGUGGUGUAAUGGUAACAUGUCCUUUCUACUUGCACGGUUCGUGAUCACUUAUGGGAUGUUCCCUGUUCAAAUUAGGGUCAGGCCU